Equus quagga is the source of this 741-nucleotide long non-coding RNA. RefSeq lists it as uncharacterized. The record is from RefSeq and is a predicted model, not a curated record. Lineage: Eukaryota; Metazoa; Chordata; Mammalia; Perissodactyla; Equidae. The transcript has 4 exons.
CAGCCGCGCCUGCUGGAGCCCGGUGGCCAGUGGCCGGCCGCUGGGGCCCAGUAUUGUCCUAAAGGCCGAAAAAAGAGGAAAGCCGGGAGGUUGGGGGACAGCCACGAGACCGGGAGAGGAUUUAUAACAUUUUCUUUCGCCGACAGUACUGCAAAAUGUAUGAAAGAGAGGGCGCCGCCGGGACAGGAGCGUGAGCGCGGGCAAGUUCCUCAGUGCUUUCCCCCUACCGGAAAUCUGAUGGGCUUAUGACAUCAUGGCUGGCUGCUGAGCGACGAAGUGGAUGCCACAAAGAAAUCCGACAUGUCAGAUGGAUUCUGAAAUCAGUUUCCCCCCGGCCGUAGUAACAGGCGUGAAGUCGGGAGAAGGUUUAUUGUAUGCCUACUCCAUGCUGGCACCAUGCUUGCAUCGAAGGUCGGGACCUGUGUGAGAGGAGAGAGAAUCGGUCAUGGGGUCUGGGAUCAGAUACCUGGAGGUGGAAUUGCUGGGUUAUAGGAAAACUCUGUGUUGAACCUUUCGACGAGCGGCUAGACGGUUUCCACGGUGGCUGCACCAUUUACAGCCCCCCCAGCGGUGUUGAGGGCUCCGAUUUCUCCACAUCCUCGUCAACACUUGCCGUCGCCUGUCUUUUGAUUGUAGCCAUUCCAGUGGGGGAGAAAUGGUAUCUCAUUAUGGUUUUGACUGAUAACUGAUGAUGUUGGGCAUCUUUCCAUACGCUUAUUGGCGAUUUGUAUGUCUUCUUUG